UGGGGAAUAUUGCACAAUGGGCGCAAGCCUGAUGCAGCCAUGCCGCGUGUGUGAAGAAGGCCUUCGGGUUGUAAAGCACUUUCAGCGAGGAGGAAGGUGGUGAACUUAAUACGUUCAUCAAUUGACGUUACUCGCAGAAGAAGCACCGGCUAACUCCGUGCCAGCAGCCGCGGUAAUACGGAGGGUGCAAGCGUUAAUCGGAAUUACUGGGCGUAAAGCGCACGCAGGCGGUUUGUUAAGUCAGAUGUGAAAUCCCCGGGCUCAACCUGGGAACUGCAUUUGAAACUGGCAAGCUAGAGUCUCGUAGAGGGGGUAGAAUUCAAGGUGUAGCGGUGAAAUGCGUAGAGAUCUGGAGGAAUACCGGUGGCGAAGGCGGCCCCCUGGACGAAGACUGACGCUCAGGUGCGAAAGCGUGGGGAGCAAACAGAUUAGAUACCCUGGUAGUCACGCUGUAAACGAUGUCGAUUUUGGAGGUUGUGCCCCUUGAGGCGUGGNUUCCGGAGCUAACG
RNAcentral lists this ribosomal RNA (509 nucleotides) under uncultured bacterium. Its description in RNAcentral is "partial 16S ribosomal RNA". It matches the Rfam family "Bacterial small subunit ribosomal RNA", at positions 355 to 857 of the family's 1533-position model. The record is from RNAcentral.